This 534-nucleotide ribosomal RNA is filed under the name uncultured bacterium. Its description in RNAcentral is "partial 16S ribosomal RNA". It matches the Rfam family "Bacterial small subunit ribosomal RNA", at positions 355 to 900 of the family's 1533-position model. The record is from RNAcentral.
UGGGGAAUAUUGCACAAUGGGCGAAAGCCUGAUGCAGCAACGCCGCGUGAGUGAUGAAGGUCUUCGGAUUGUAAAGCUCUGUCUUUUGGGACGAUAAUGACGGUACCAAAGGAGGAAGCCACGGCUAACUACGUGCCAGCAGCCGCGGUAAUACGUAGGUGGCGAGCGUUGUCCGGAUUUACUGGGCGUAAAGGGUGCGUAGGCGGAUGUUUAAGUGAGAUGUGAAAUACCCGGGCUUAACUUGGGUGCUGCAUUUCAAACUGGAUAUCUAGAGUGCAGGAGAGGAGAAUGGAAUUCCUAGUGUAGCGGUGAAAUGCGUAGAGAUUAGGAAGAACACCAGUGGCGAAGGCGAUUCUCUGGACUGUAACUGACGCUGAGGCACGAAAAGCGUGGGUAGCAAACAGGAUUAGAUACCCUGGUAGUCCGCGCCGUAAAACGAUGAGUACUAGGUGUAGGAGGUAUCGACCCCUUCUGUGCCGCAGUAAAACACAUUAAAGUACUCCGCCUGGGAAGUACGAUCGCAAGAUUAAAAAC